UACGUAGGGUGCAAGCGUUGUCCGGAAUUAUUGGGCGUAAAGGGCGCGUAGGCGGCCUGCUAAGUCGAACGUGAAAUCCCUGGGCUCAACCCAGGAACUGCGUCCGAUACUGGUUGGCUUGAAUCCGGGAGAGGGAUGUGGAAUUCCAGGUGUAGCGGUGAAAUGCGUAGAUAUCUGGAGGAACACCGGUGGCGAAGGCGACAUCCUGGACCGGUAUUGACGCUGAGGCGCGAAAGCCAGGGGAGCAAACGGG
This 253-nucleotide ribosomal RNA is filed under the name uncultured bacterium. RNAcentral's name for it is "partial 16S ribosomal RNA". It matches the Rfam family "Bacterial small subunit ribosomal RNA", at positions 524 to 776 of the family's 1533-position model. The record is from RNAcentral.